This 766-nucleotide long non-coding RNA is filed under the name Lathyrus oleraceus (garden pea). RNAcentral describes it as "Pisum sativum (pea) long non-coding RNA (PSAT_LNC033058)". Lineage: Eukaryota; Viridiplantae; Streptophyta; Magnoliopsida; Fabales; Fabaceae. The record is from RNAcentral.
GUUUGCAUUCAUUGUCUAUUGUUUGCAUUUAUGUUUGCAUUAAUGUUUGCAUUUAUUCAUCUGUUCACCUGGCUGGUUGUCUGUUUCUCUCUGUGUGGGGGGAAGAGUCAGUUGAGGUAAAAGGUCCAAUACCCAGACCAUGAGUGCAAUCUAGGAUACCUAGGAAUAGAGUGAUUCAUGGGAAGCGGGUGGUAUGGCGCCACUUAGCGGAACAUUGAUAUCACGAGCAGUUCAGACCCUGGUGGGAUGCUGUCGUUACAUACUUCGGGUGUGUAUAUGAUAGUAUUCCUGCGAAAGGUUAUUUAUGCUGCGUUUCUCUCAGCCUUACCCUGGCCUAGACUACACCCGUGAGUGGGGAAGGGUUAUUCAUUACAGGUACCGAUGGUGACUGUUGGUGACUGUUGGUGACUAAUGGUGACUCAGUGUGUUCCUGUUGGUGACUCAUCUUCUCAGAUCGGGUUCAGACGACAGUUGACCAGUUGACUUUGGGUUUCAGAUGAAUUGUUGUUCAGAGUUCGAGCCGAAGCUUCGAUCCUGGGUUCAGAGAUGCACAGCUUGCCAGUCGUGUCUGCAUCAUGUGCAUCAUAGCAUGUUUAUUUUUCAAAGGAAACGCAAUGAAAGAAAAAUUGAAAAAAAUAAAAAAAAAAAAAAAAGGAAAAGAGAAGAGCUAAUCCUUGCAUGCAUAUCAUUUCUCAGGUACAUUCCAGAGCUUGAUUCAUUGAUAGAGAUGGCAACAGUUCCCGAGCCGAAGCGGAAGACCUGUUCC